RNAcentral lists this ribosomal RNA (312 nucleotides) under Triticum aestivum (bread wheat). RNAcentral's name for it is "partial small subunit ribosomal RNA". Lineage: Eukaryota; Viridiplantae; Streptophyta; Magnoliopsida; Poales; Poaceae. The record is from RNAcentral.
AUGAUCCAGAUUCUAGCUACACCCUUUACUACAACAAUCUCAGGCUUUACUGAAAAGUGUACUGCUUAUAUAGUUGAUAUCUUUAAUUCAUAUGGUCGUCCGCUGGAUGAUCACUGGUCUUCGGUUCAUAUGGUCACUGGCUGGAAGCUUGCUGUUAUGUUUGCUUCAUAUGGUGGUCGACUGGAAGCUCGCGGUCUGAAUGAUCUCAUUGUCUAUGGCCGGCAAUACACACUUUUCAUUACUACCAGCCAGGGGUUCACGGGCCAUCAUGAUGAUAUACUUGGUUCUUUAAAGAAGAAUGAUAAGAACUAA